UGGGGAAUAUUGGACAAUGGGCGCAAGCCUGAUCCAGCCAUGCCGCGUGAGUGAUGAAGGCCCUAGGGUUGUAAAGCUCUUUCACCGGUGAAGAUAAUGACGGUAACCGGAGAAGAAGCCCCGGCUAACUUCGUGCCAGCAGCCGCGGUAAUACGAAGGGGGCUAGCGUUGUUCGGAUUUACUGGGCGUAAAGCGCACGUAGGCGGACUAUUAAGUCAGGGGUGAAAUCCCGGGGCUCAACCCCGGAACUGCCUUUGAUACUGGUAGUCUUGAGUUCGAGAGAGGGGAGUGGAAUUCCGAGUGUAGAGGUGAAAUUCGUAGAUAUUCGGAGGAACACCAGUGGCGAAGGCGGCUCACUGGCACGAUACUGACGCUGAGGUGCGAAAGCGUGGGGAGCAAACAGG
This 404-nucleotide ribosomal RNA is filed under the name Actinomycetes bacterium. RNAcentral describes it as "Actinobacteria bacterium partial 16S ribosomal RNA". It matches the Rfam family "Bacterial small subunit ribosomal RNA", at positions 355 to 776 of the family's 1533-position model. Lineage: Bacteria; Bacillati; Actinomycetota; Actinomycetes. The record is from RNAcentral.